AUGAAUGAUUCUUCUGGCUAUGUUUCUGACCAGGAUGUCUCUUUGUUUGCAGGUGUCCAGGUUGAGGUGCAACUGAUCGAGUCUGGGGGAGGCUUGGUACAGCCUGGGGAGUCCCUGAGACUCUCCUGUGAGGGCUCUGGAUUCACCUUUAGUAGCUAUACCAUGGAUUCAGUCCACCAGGGUCCAGGGAAGGGGCUGGAGUGGGUCUCAGUUAUUAGCAGUGGUGGUACCGUACACUACGCAGACUCUGUGAAGGGCCGAUUCACCAUCUCCAGAGACAAUGCCAAGAACUCACUGUAUCUGCAAAUGAACAGCCUGAGAGCCGAGGACACGGCUGUGUAUUACUGUGUGAGAGGCACAGUGAGGGAAAGUCAGUGUGAGCCUAGACACAAACCUUCCUGCAGGGGUCCCCGGGACCACCAGGGGGCGCGCGGGACGCUGUGCACGGGGCUGUUUCUAGGGCAGGUGCAGAUGCUGCUAAGGGCUGGCUUCCUGUCAUGAUCUGGGGCUGCCUCAUUGUCAAAUUUCCCCAGGGAACUUCCCAGAUUUACAGUUCUGUACUAACAUUUGAUAUCUCUAAAUGCAGACCUUUUUUGU
Gorilla gorilla gorilla (western lowland gorilla) is the source of this 597-nucleotide non-coding RNA. Lineage: Eukaryota; Metazoa; Chordata; Mammalia; Primates; Hominidae. The record is from the annotation of a RefSeq genome assembly.